AAACUUAGGAUAUGCUUAAACCCGAGGCCUUCAAAGCCCCAAAAAAGA
RNAcentral lists this transfer RNA (48 nucleotides) under Chamaeleo chamaeleon (common chameleon). RNAcentral's name for it is "partial tRNA-Trp". Lineage: Eukaryota; Metazoa; Chordata; Lepidosauria; Squamata; Chamaeleonidae. The record is from RNAcentral.